RNAcentral lists this ribosomal RNA (1229 nucleotides) under Leclercia sp. SS29. Its description in RNAcentral is "bacterial SSU rRNA". It matches the Rfam family "Bacterial small subunit ribosomal RNA", at positions 292 to 1508 of the family's 1533-position model. Lineage: Bacteria; Pseudomonadati; Pseudomonadota; Gammaproteobacteria; Enterobacterales; Enterobacteriaceae. The record is from RNAcentral. RNAcentral also lists the same sequence under 1 other name.
AUGGUUACCCCAUCCACACCCCGGAAAUUGAGCCCCGUUCCGAGAUCCUUCCGGAAGGCCCCAAGGGGGAAUUAUGGCACAAAUUGGCGCCAACGCCUGUUCGCAGCCAUGCCGGUGGUUGGAAGAAGGUCCUUCGGUGGUAACUCCUUUCAGUGAGAGAGAAGGCCGAUAAGGUUAAAUACCCUUGUGAUGGCGUUACUCGCAGAUGACCCCCGGCUAAUUCGUCCAACCAGCCCCGGUAAUACGAAGGGUGCCAAGGCGUUAAUUCGGAAAUUAUGGGCGGUAAGGCCGCACGCAGUCGGUCUGUCAGGUCGAAUUGAAAAUCCCCGGGUUCACCCUGGAAUCUCCAUCCGAAACUGGCAGGUUAGAGUCUUGUGGAGGGGGGUAGAAUUUCCAGGUGUAGCGGUUGAAAUGCGUAGUGUUGUAGAGGACAUCCCGGGGGGGAGGGGGGCACCCUGGACAAUGACUGACGCUCAGGUGGAAAGCUUGGGGAGCAACCAGGAUUAGAUACCCUGGUAGUCCACGCUGUAAACGAUGUCGACUUGGAGGUUAUUCCUUGGAGGAGUGGCUUCGCGAGUUAACGCGUUAAGUCGCCCCCUUGGGGAGUACGGCCGCAAGGUUAAAACUCAAAUGAAUUGCCGGGGGCCGCCCCAAGCGGUGGACCAUGUGGUUUAAUUGGAGCCAACGCGAAGACCCUUACCUACUCUUGACAUCCAGGAACUUUAGCAGAGAUGAUUUGGUGCUUUCGGGAACUCUGAGCCAGGUGCUCCAGGGCGUUAUUAAGUUCGUGUUGGGAAAGGUUGGGUUAAUUCCCGCAACGAGGCCAACCCUUUUCUUUUGUUGCCAGCGGUUAGGCCGGGAACUCAAAGGAGACUGCCAGUGAUAAACUGGAGGAAGGUGGGGAUGACGUCAAGUCAUCAUGGCCCUUACGAGUAGGGCUACACACGUGCUACAAUGGCAUAUACAAAGGGAAGCCACCUCGCGAGAGCAAGCGGACCUCAUAAAGUAUGUCGUAGUCCGGAUCGCAGUCUGCAACUCGACUCCGUGAAGUCGGAAUCGCUAGUAAUCGUGGAUCAGAAUGCCACGGUGAAUACGUUCCCGGGCCUUGUGCACACCGCCCGUCACACCAUGGAGUGGGUUGCAACAGUUUCCUAGCUUAACCUUCGGGAGGGCGCUUACCACUUUGUGAUUCAUGACUGGGGGAAGUCGAAACCAAGACCCCAUGCCGU